GGAAGUAGGGGGAGGUCUAGAGCCUUUAAACACUGUGUUCAUAAAAUGACCAAGUUGCUAGGACUGUGGGAGCCACAGAGAAACAUGAGGUUCAAAUCGUCUGACCCUGGGGCAUAUGGACCCAUGGGGCUCACAUUAUGCUUCUAGGCGAGAGUGCAAGGUCAGACCCCACUGGCUCUGGCAGUCGGCACCCAGCUGAUCGAGGAGCUACUCACUGCUACAAGGUCACCAAUCUACCCAGAGAAGCCAGGCAUUUCAACAUCUUCUUUCUGUAGUAAGCGUGUGAGCAUCUGGAACAACGCCAGCCCUGGAGAGUCUCCAGGUCAGCUUUCUCCAUGGCAGCCCCAGGCACUGGCGCCUGCUGGGGGACCCCCGAGGCAGAGGGUAAGUGGAGAUCUGUGAGAU
Long non-coding RNA from Homo sapiens (human), 405 nucleotides. RefSeq lists it as uncharacterized. The transcript has 3 exons. NCBI's taxonomy places the organism in Eukaryota, Metazoa, Chordata, Mammalia, Primates, Hominidae. The record is from RefSeq and is a predicted model, not a curated record.